UAUUUAGUGUUUUAGUUUGUUAAGUAAAACUUGUAUUGAUUUUUGUUUUGGUUUUGGGGUAUUAUCAGUGAUUUGGGUGAUGUCUCUAGAAAGAUUUUUAUCGCAAAUCUAAGGCUCAAAUCAUAGAGAUUGAGUUGUUUGUUUGCAUCAGCUGUUUCACCUCAAAACAAACCAAACAGUUUGGCAUUUCUAGAAAACUGCAUUUAUUAUUUUAUUGUAUUGAGAAGAAACCAAUAAAUUUGCACAGUAAAACACCCUCCAAGUAUUUGCCAUACAAGAGAAAAUUGAUUUGUUUAGUAGAUUUUACAUUUAAUUUCACAAAUGGUUCUACCAUUUGGGAAUGUCAAAUGACUCAUAAUUCUUUAUUCAAACUUUAUCUCAAACUGGUUUUGGUGCUUGAUUAUCAUUGUGAUAUUUGCUUUGUAGGACUUGCUAAACCUGAUCCUGUUAUAGAAACUUUUUGUACCGAUGAAUUAGUUUUGCAGCAUGUGAAACUUGAUGGAGUUGUUACUUUUGUUGAUUCCAAGCACGCAAUGCAACACCUUAAUGAAAUAAAACCAAGAUUACCGAGGUUGUAGAACAAAUUGCUUAUGCUAAUUGUAUUAUUUUUUAACAAGGUAGAGUUUUUUUUUUUAAUCAGAAAACAAGUUAGAGUGUAUUCAUUGAAUCUGACAUUUGUUUUUAAAAUGUGAGGUGAUUCUGAGCUUUGAAGCUAAUUGGAUUCCAACUAUUUCAGCAGAUAGAUUUAGUGACUGAGGUUGAGCUGGAGAUAUUGACCAAGAGAAUUAAGCAUAUUAAUGGGAUGGCACAAAUGAAGCAAGCUAAGUUUGGAUCCGUUGACAUGGACUUUGUUCUUGGAGUGGGAGGUUAUGAUCUUGAUAGGAUUGAUUCUGAAGUUCAGGUAGAUAAUUCCUGUUCUACAACUCAUCAACAUGAAACUGGAAAAAGUAUUAUUUUCUUUCUCUGAUUUUUCCUUUCCAAUCAUUUUUCUCUGUUUUUUUUCC
Molecule: long non-coding RNA, 1004 nt
Organism: Humulus lupulus (European hop)
Lineage: Eukaryota; Viridiplantae; Streptophyta; Magnoliopsida; Rosales; Cannabaceae
Exons: 3
Source: RefSeq, a predicted model, not a curated record